Molecule: ribosomal RNA, 907 nt
Filed under: uncultured delta proteobacterium
Lineage: Bacteria; Deltaproteobacteria
Description: bacterial SSU rRNA
Rfam family: Bacterial small subunit ribosomal RNA
Source: RNAcentral
AGAGUUUGAUCCUGGCUCAGAACGAACGCUGGCGGCGUGCCUAACACAUGCAAGUCGAACGAGAAAGGGGCUUCGGCCCUGAGUAAAGUGGCGCACGGGUGAGUAACACGUAGGUAACCUGCCUCUAAGAUUGGGAUAACCUGUCGAAAGACGAGCUAAUACCAAAUAAGACCACAGUCUCCUCGGGGACAGAGGUCAAAGGUAGCCUCUAUUUAUAAGUAUCGCUAAGAGAUGGGCCUGCGUACCAUUAGCUAGUUGGUGAGGUAACGGCUCACCAAGGCAAAGAUGGUUAGCUGGUCUGAGAGGAUGAUCAGCCACACUGGAACUGAGACACGGCCCUGACUCCUUUGGGGGGCAGCAAUGAGGGAUCUUGCGCAAUGGGCGAAAGCCUGACGCAGCGACGCCGCGUGGGUGAGGAAGUCCUUCGGGAUGUAAAGCCCUUUUGUCGGGGACGAGAACGGACGGUACCCGGCGAAUAAGCCCCGGCUAACUACGUGCCAGCAGCCGCGGUAAUACGUAGGGGGCUAGCGUUGUCCGGAUUUAUUGGGCGUAAAGAGCGUGUAGGCGGCCGGCUAGGUCUGGUGUGAAAACUCGAGGCUCAACCUCGAGAUGUCGCCGGAAACCAGUCGGCUAGAGUCCGGGAGAGGAGAGUGGAAUUCCUGGUGUAGCGGUGAAAUGCGCAGAUAUCAGGAAGAACACCUAUGGCGAAAGCAGCUCUCUGGGACGGUACUGACGCUGAGACGCGAAAGCGUGGGGUGCAAACAGGAUUAGAUACCCUGGUAGUCCACGCCGUAAACGAUGGGCGCUAGGUGUGGGCGGUGUCGACUCCGUCCGUGCCGAAGCUAACGCAUUAAGCGCCCCGCCUGGGGAGUACGGCCGCAAGGCUAAAACUCAAAGGAAUUGACGG